AUUGAACGCUGGCGGCAUGCUUUACACAUGCAAGUCGAACGGCAGCGCGGGCUUCGGCCUGGCGGCGAGUGGCGAACGGGUGAGUAAUGCAUCGGAACGUGCCCAGUAGUGGGGGAUAGCCCGGCGAAAGCCGGAUUAAUACCGCAUACGACCUGAGGGUGAAAGCGGGGGACCGAAAGGCCUCGCGCUAUUGGAGCGGCCGAUGUCGGAUUAGCUAGUUGGUGGGGUAAAGGCUUACCAAGGCGACGAUCCGUAGCUGGUCUGAGAGGACGACCAGCCACACUGGGACUGAGACACGGCCCAGACUCCUACGGGAGGCAGCAGUGGGGAAUUUUGGACAAUGGGGGCAACCCUGAUCCAGCCAUGCCGCGUGCGGGAAGAAGGCCUUCGGGUUGUAAACCGCUUUUGUUCGGGAAGAAAUCCUCUGGGCUAAUACCCCGGGAGGAUGACGGUACCGGAAGAAUAAGCACCGGCUAACUACGUG
RNAcentral lists this ribosomal RNA (484 nucleotides) under uncultured bacterium. RNAcentral's name for it is "partial 16S ribosomal RNA". It matches the Rfam family "Bacterial small subunit ribosomal RNA", at positions 29 to 507 of the family's 1533-position model. The record is from RNAcentral.